UACGGAGGAUGCGAGCGUUAUCCGGAUUUAUUGGGUUUAAAGGGUGCGCAGGCGGCACGGCAAGCCGGCGGUCAGAUCGCAGGGCUCAACCCCGCCCAGCCGUCGGAACUGCCGGGCUAGAGUGGGCGAGAAGUGCGCGGAAUGCGUGGUGUAGCGGUGAAAUGCAUAGAUAUCACGCAGAACUCCGAUUGCGAAGGCAGCGCACCGGCGCCCUACUGACGCUCAGGCACGAAAGCGUGGGUAUCGAACAGG
This 252-nucleotide ribosomal RNA is filed under the name uncultured bacterium. RNAcentral's name for it is "partial 16S ribosomal RNA". It matches the Rfam family "Bacterial small subunit ribosomal RNA", at positions 524 to 776 of the family's 1533-position model. The record is from RNAcentral.